This 468-nucleotide ribosomal RNA is filed under the name uncultured bacterium. RNAcentral's name for it is "partial 16S ribosomal RNA". It matches the Rfam family "Bacterial small subunit ribosomal RNA", at positions 28 to 507 of the family's 1533-position model. The record is from RNAcentral.
GACGAACGCUGGCGGCGUGCUUAACACAUGCAAGUCGAACGGAAAGGCCCUGCUUUUGUGGGGUGCUCGAGUGGCGAACGGGUGAGUAACACGUGAGUAACCUGCCCUUGACUUUGGGAUAACUUCAGGAAACUGGGUCUAAUACCGGAUAGGAGCUCCUGCUGCAUGGUGGGGGUUGGAAAGUUUCGGCGGUUGGGGAUGGACUCGCGGCUUAUCAGCUUGUUGGUGUGGUAGUGGCUUACCAAGGCUUUGACGGGUAGCCGGCCUGAGAGGGUGACCGGCCACAUUGGGACUGAGAUACGGCCCAGACUCCUACGGGAGGCAGCAGUGGGGAAUAUUGCACAAUGGGCGGAAGCCUGAUGCAGCAACGCCGCGUGCGGGAUGACGGCCUUCGGGUUGUAAACCGCUUUCGCAUGUGACGAAGCGUGAGUGACGGUAAUGGGUAAAGAAGCACCGGCUAACUACGUG